This 474-nucleotide ribosomal RNA is filed under the name uncultured Desulfobulbus sp. RNAcentral describes it as "bacterial SSU rRNA". It matches the Rfam family "Bacterial small subunit ribosomal RNA", at positions 917 to 1381 of the family's 1533-position model. The record is from RNAcentral. Lineage: Bacteria; Pseudomonadati; Thermodesulfobacteriota; Desulfobulbia; Desulfobulbales; Desulfobulbaceae.
UGACGGGGCCGCACAAGCGGUGGAGUAUGUGGUUUAAUUCGAUGCAACGCGAAGAACCUUACUGGUCUUGACAUCCCGGAGACCCUUAGGAAACUAGGGGGUGCUUCCAUCUGGAAGAAUCUGGAGACAGGUGCUGCAUGGCUGUCGUCAGCUCGUGUCGUGAGAUGUUGGGUUAAGUCCCGCAACGAGCGCAACCCUUGCCUUUAGUUGCCAGCAGUUCGGCUGGGCACUCUAAAGGGACUGCCGGUGUUAAACCGGAGGAAGGUGGGGAUGACGUCAAGUCCUCAUGGCCUUUAUGACCAGGGCUACACACGUACUACAAUGGCCGAUACAAAGGGCAGCGACACUGCGAGGUGAAGCCAAUCCCGUAAAAUCGGUCUCAGUCCGGAUUGGAGUCUGCAACUCGACUCCAUGAAGUUGGAAUCGCUAGUAAUCGUGGAUCAGCAUGCCACGGUGAAUACGUUCCCGGGCCUU